Long non-coding RNA from Ictalurus punctatus (channel catfish), 1534 nucleotides. The record is from Ensembl. NCBI's taxonomy places the organism in Eukaryota, Metazoa, Chordata, Actinopteri, Siluriformes, Ictaluridae.
CCGACUCCUCUUUAUCAGCAUAAAUUCAGCUUCAAAACAAUUUGGGACUUAAUGUUUGCAUCGUAAUCUCUUAGAUUAUAAAUUGUUUAGUGUGUUAGUGAUGUAAGUGAUAUUAAAGUGCUAUUACAGUGAUUUUAGAAGGAAUUUUCUAUUUUACGCACCCCAAAAAAUAAAUAAAGAAAGAAAUAAAUAAAUAAAUAAAAUGACCUAAACCGACUUCAUCACACCCUCACAAACAAUAGUUCAUAAAGAGUCGGACCAGCCAAAGGACCGACAGGUAAUUUGUCUUCUUGUUUCUUUUUGUUUGUUUGUUUGUUUUGCUUUGCUUUGCUUUGCUUUCUUUGUUAUGUUAAGGCCCUUAGAAUAAAAUGCGCCUCCAAGAAUGAACCCGAAGCGAAGCUUCACAGUUAUUCAUGUGGAAUAAAUCAUACGGAGGAUUUAUUUGUAUGUCGCGUCGCAAAAAAAAAAAAGAAGAAGAAGAAGAAGAAGAAGAAGAAGAAGAAGAAGAAAAGUUGUCCAAAAACCGUCGGUCACUUUCCUGAAAUUGUGAGUAUCCAUUUGUGCAUAAUGAAGCUGCGGAGAAUGGAGCACUGGAGAACUGGUGAGCGUCUGAUGGAAGAGGAAAAGGAAGAGCGGAAUGAUGAGAAGGAGGUGGAGAAGAUGCAGCUUCUCAUAUACAGCUAUGGAGCUAUGGAUGAUUUCAGUAGGGAGAAGUUGAGCAGGAAUGGAGUAUGCAGAUGAUGAUGAUAUGUGUGUGUGUGUGUGUGUGUGUGUAGUCAUUUCUUAUACACAUUUGGACUGGGUGUAUAUGCAUCAGUGGAGUGUCUUUUCAUCGUCUUUCCUUGUUCAAGAGUAUCUAAAGGACUUCAACUUUUCUCUCCCCUAUAGACUACAUUCUUAUUCCACAACUCUGUGCUGAUAUCAGAUACCACGGGGUGACCAGAUUCCGAAUAUAAAGCCAAAGGGACGUCUCUUAACCCCCUUCACUGCACGGUUUUGCCGUACGGAAACGAUUCAUUAAUCUCCGAUUUAACAUUUUGUGUAAUUUUUGACUACAUGAUACUUUCCAUACAGCAACGAUUUACAGACUAACCCCCCCCCCCCCUUUAUAUAUUUGUAUUACUUGAACUAAUUCAAGUAAUAAAAACAGAUGAAAACAUUUUUUUUUUUUUUUAGUCCUUCAUGCUGUAGAGGGUUAAAUGAGCAUUACGGCGUUUCUGUGGCCACCGAAUCUACUAAAAUGUGAAAGCAAAUGUCUUACAGCUGUGAAUUUUAUUACACACACACACACACACACCCACAGAGAGUGAGAGAGAGUGAGAGAGAGAGAGAGAGAGAGAGAGAGAGCGCUCUCAGUUACUUUUCUAAAUUGUCUAUUUUAUGCGUCAAUCCAUUUCCAUCUUCUAUACAAUUUCAAAGCAACUGUAAAUGAAUGUGAAUAGGAAAAUAUUAAACAUUCAGAAUUCUAAAAUAUCUUUCAUGUACACACACACACACACAUACACACACACACAUAUGUAUAUAUAUAUAUAUA